UACGAAGGGGGCUAGCGUUGUUCGGAAUUACUGGGCGUAAAGGGCGCGUAGGCGGAUAGUUUAGUCAGAGGUGAAAGCCCAGGGCUCAACCUUGGAAUUGCCUUUGAUACUGGCUAUCUUGAGUUCGGGAGAGGUGAGUGGAAUGCCGAGUGUAGAGGUGAAAUUCGUAGAUAUUCGGCGGAACACCAGUGGCGAAGGCGACUCACUGGCCCGAUACUGACGCUGAGGCGCGAAAGCGUGGGGAGCAAACAGG
This 253-nucleotide ribosomal RNA is filed under the name uncultured bacterium. RNAcentral's name for it is "partial 16S ribosomal RNA". It matches the Rfam family "Bacterial small subunit ribosomal RNA", at positions 524 to 776 of the family's 1533-position model. The record is from RNAcentral.